GCAUAUGGUUCUUGAUGUUUAGCCAAUAUACUAUAGGAUUUUAAGCAUCAUGCCCAUGUGCAUUGUGGUUUUUUAUCAGCUAUAUGGUUUACCAAACUGAGGGAUUGAUUAUAGUCAUAAGUACCCUUUUCCCAUUAAUUUCUUGCAUGUGCUUUGCUGAGAUUAUGUUUUUGACAGUGCUAAUCAGGGCAAACCAACAAACAGCUUUAUGUUAACUUUUACAAACUGCCACAUUUUCAGGUUGAACGAUCAGACAUAAAUCUUGGUGAAACUAGAAGUAAUACAACCUGUGCUGUGGAGAUAAAAGAAAGGGCAGCAGCACUGGUGGCUGCAGAAAUUGAGGCAUGUAGAGACAAUAGAACCCCCGAGAUACCUCUGCAUAAGAAAGUCCAGAAAGAGUGGGCUUGUGCUGUAUGCCAGUUCACAACCCAAAGUGAAGUGACCUUCAAUUCCCACCUUCAAGGGAAGAGACAUCAGGCCACUUCUGAGCAGUUGAGAGCCAAAAACCAGGCAACCAAAACCAAUUGUUCCCCAUCUGCUUCAAAGGCCAAGAAAUCUGAUCAGUCCACCAAAGAGGAGCAACCAAAGUGUCCUUCCAACAAUCUGAAUUCCAAAAACAAUGGAAUCUCAGCUGCUUCAACAGUGAAGAAACCUGACGAGACCAAAGAUGAUGAGCAACAAAAGUGUGCAUCCAGCAAUGGACCAAACCAGAAGAAUAACAAAAAGCAAGAGGAGAAGGUGCUAGUUCUUGAGACCAAUGAGCAAGGCCAUCAGAAUAAUUUUGAUCCACGAUCCCACAUUUAUUUUGGGUCUCACAAGUUUCAAAUUUGCAGAAAAAUGAAAGAUGUUUGAGAGAAAAUUAAAUCAUAUUGCACUACUGUUAGGAAAAAUAUGGCUGAAUCCAAUUGCUUUUCUUCUCCAAGUCUAUUAAAAAUAUAAUUUUUUCUCCAUUCCUGACAAAAUUUAAAUUUUUUCCUUAAAAAAAAAAAAAUUAAGUUUGAUCACCUAACACAUCUUUCUAAACUCAAUCUCAACUUGAAAAAUCAAACCUUAAUGGAUGGACUAUAGAAAUAGUGAGAAAACACUUCUGGGGUUUUUUUUUUCUUCCAACAUCAAAUUUUUCUAUAUAUGGGAUUUCACAUGCAAAAGCAGGAGUAGAUUUGCUUGUGUUUGAUGUAUGUAUUAGAAAAAUUUGUCCCUUCUGGGAUGUUUAAUACUUUUCUAUUCUUUUAUAUGCAUGUUUAGCUAGAAGAUAUAGAAUCGAUACCAUUCCUUAAAAGUGAUAGCCACAACUGUGAUAAUUAAACACCAAAGAAUGUGAAGAUCUAUAUAUUCUUUUUUUUUUCCUCUCUCUUUCAAUAAUGAAGCUAAGAUGUGUUGUAAGCAUCAAAUGCAUUGUCUCUGCUUGAAUAUAUACAAAGCCAAGGACCACAAGAUGGAUAGAUAUGGGGACGCACAAAACUUCUCAAACAUGAUUAUAUUAAUCAAGAAUUCAACUAAGCUUAAAUUCAAGAUGUUGAUUUCUAGCAUCUCUGGUGCUAUAGGAUGACUAUUGAUCCUGUACUGUUAUGUGCCCUACUGAUAUAUUCUUCGGGUUGUUAUGUAUAAAUAAAAUUUUUGGGAAAGUUUGCUUGGUGGUUACACUAUCACUAUUUAGGCCAGUAAAAAUUGGAAGCCUUUGUAAAAAACUGAUGGUCCAAGAGCUAUUCUACUUCAUCAUCCAUGUAAUAUGACGAUACAAAUUUGACUAAAUGCAGCUAUAGAAGGCUUAGGACCAUAAACCAAGCCUAGUCGAUGUCACUCACCUAAAUUUAUGCAUAAAGCUUUUGGAUGGCUCAGAGUUAUAUUUAAUUACUGUUAUGUUCGCAACUAUAUUUUCAUUGGAUUUAUAGUCCAGCUUGAGAACUAGUCCUCCAUUGCACAUAAUGUCCACACAAGGCCACAGUGCCCGCUCAAAGGCCAUAGCGCUACUCAAGGAUAUAGUGCUUACUCAAGGCCAUAGAGCCCACCUAAGGCUAACGACCCAAAAGGAGAAAAAGGUUGGUUCCACGUACUCUAAUAUUUACUAGAAAAGGUUCUUCCUAUUAAAGAACAAAAAAUUGCAUUCCCUUGUGACCAAUCCAAACAGUAGACCACUGACUUGUAUAAGGCAUUAUUCACCAUGCAAGCACUUUUUCAGCAACCUACCAUCUGGCAUGAACCAUUUUGGAUUGAUUCACAAAGCAAUGGUGUUAUAUUAAGCAUAUUCAAUAUAGAACCAAAUUGUGCCUCCUUAGAUUAACUAAAAUAUUUCCAUUGCAAGAUGUGCAGAUAGGCAUAUGAUCAUGAAGUAAUUUCCUGAUGAUAAUACCCCACAAAAUAUUUCUUUUUCUCACUGAUCUCUCCUAGAUUUUCAGUUCACCCAUCCAUGGCGCCUGACUAAAAAUGGGGGCAUUUUGGAUACCCCGAGCAGUAAGUUAGCCUGGUAGGCAUCCCGUUGCAAGCAAAGUCAACCCGAGCGGUCCAUUUGACCAAAGCUUAUCCAGGCAGUAAGCGUCCAUAUACAGCUAACUGUUAUGCACCAUCAACAGGUUGAGGUUACAAGAUUAAAGAGUCAUAAUGGCCAAAUGGAAGUUACACGACUCGGCCUAUAUAAUAACAGUAUGACAAAAAAUGCAGGUAUGAAGAACUAUCACUGAAAAAAUUUAUUCCUAAAAAUCCUUUAAGCUCCUUUAAGCUAACUUGGGCAUUGGAGAGGUCUCUCCGAAGCACACUCGAGCUUACCUUUUUGUAAGACAUCGAGAACAAGAGGCAUUGAAGUGAUUGUCCGGAGGGUUGAACUUGGUCGGGAACCAACAAUACACACUAUUCAAAAAUAGGGAUCAUAUUAAAUUAUUAAUGCAACCAUAGGAAGCAAUUGAGGACAAGGGUGUUAUUUGAUUAAAAGGGUAAUUGAAAACCUAAAUUUUGAAAUUUAACCCUCCAUUCUAUUUGGCCUUAUGUGAACAAAAAUGCCUUCAUUAUUUUCUUGUAAAAAUAACUCACCCAUUUAAACCUUACAUGAAAAUACUUAAAAUGGUAAAUGAUAUGUUAAAAAUUGAUUAUUUUUCAAAUAAAACAUAAGAAGGGUCAAAUUCAUGAAAGGAUUAUUUCAUCCCUUUUAAUCAAUUAAUUCGAUUUAUUUCUUUUUAUUUUUUUUCUCUCCAUGUUAAUUUUCACAUCACCCAACAACACCACUCUUAAUUCACACAAGUUUGAAGUUUUUGAAUGAGAUAUAUUCGUAAUUAUAUUGUAAUUGUGUUAUAAUAACCAUUUCGUACUUGGAUUUGUUCUUUCAGUCCAUUUAACCUUUUUGUUUAUUCAUGUCAAAACAAUGUACUUAUAAUCGAAUCCAUUUAUGACAUGUUGAUCUUAUAUAAAUUUAUUAAUUUUAUAUAUUUAAAAAUUAUAAAAAUUAAAUAUACUUUUUCAAUUAUGAAUAUCAUAUUACUAAAAUAUUAAAUAACAAAUUAACUUGAAAUGCUAUAUAUUUCAUUAAUUAUUUUAUAAUUAAAACAUUAAAUGAAAUAAUAAACAAGUAUAAAAUAGAAAAUUCUAUCUUAGUUAGAAAUUAUAAACUGUUAUUGAGACAUAUAAGUAUUAAAAUUCUACCCAUUUCACUACCAAACAACUUAUGUUUUUAGUCAUAAUUUAACCUUAUGAUGAACACUUAAAUAAAAUUUGUCAUCUUUUUCUAUUGAUUUAUAUUUAUUUAUUUAAAAAUUUUGUCUGGCAUAAACUAUCAUCUCACAAAAUCAUCAUUGAUGAGUAGGCUAUGCCCCAGUGUAAGCAUCUCCAAAUCAAACAUCAAUGAGAGGAGUACAACCAAUCAUACAUCAUCUUAUCAAAAUGAAUCUCCGCUUUUCAAAGUCAUCGUGGUAACGUGAAGAGAGUAUUUGACCUCCUCUAAAGAAAAAACAUGUCUUGAUGUGAAAAAGAUCAAGCAAAGUGGUAUGCCUCAACAAAAAUGUGCUCAAACAUGAUCAUGCCCCGAUGUAAGUUAGUAUCUCUAAGAUCAAUCGCCAAUGAAAAGGUUAUUCCCCAGUAUAGGGCAAACUCUGAAAUGACUAAACUCCGUUGCAAGCUCUCAUAAGUGUCUGUGUCAUGAUCCAAUCAUCGCAAAAAUUUGUCAACAAUGAUGAGAAGGCUAUGCUCCUAUAAUCACAUCAAAGAAAUCACUCGGUCAUAUUACUCCAAUGUGAAAGAAAUCUAAUCACCUCCAAGGAACAGCUAUGCCUCAAAACCAUCAUCGACUGAGAGGGGGAUGCCCCUGAUCCAAUCACCACCCUAACUAACGUACCCAUCAUGAGGAACACUUGUUUGAGCUCCAUAAUGGGGAUCAACCAUUAGAUGAACAAGAUUCGAAUAUUACUUGCUCCCCAUUUCAACCAAUGAAUGAUGUACCUGGAAACCUUGUAGACAACCAUAGUUUUCAGCCUUCUUCCUCGCGAUCAUCUAGAACAGAGUCGGUAAGCUUCACUCAUUUCUUAUAAUGGACCUUGACCCACAACGUCGAACUACCUGUAUGCAAAAUUAUCCGUCCAGAAAACCCAUCCAUACAAUUCAGGUUCAAAACCCACAAGAACCACCCUAUGAAUAAACUAAUUAUAGCUGGCUUCGUUGCAAUAGGCAUUAACUUUCUUAUGCUGACAGUCCUAGCAUCAUUUACCAAAGGAUCAACAACUUUUCCAUGUCAGAGAACAUUAUCAAUCACAAUGACACCCCUGGUCCUCACUAGUUGCGAUAGCAAUUUAAAGUAUUCUUGAUUCAAAGGGUAAACAAAACAAAAAAGAAAACCCUAAGUGUGACUCCUUAUUUGAAAAAUGUGGUUUAUGAAAAACCGGAUCGAGCUUAGGGGUCAGGUUACUUAUCGGGAAGGUACAAAAAAAACCGUAGCACCCCUCUAAGUCCCUAAAAUGGGUCUCUAUUGAUAAAAUGAAGCAAUCAUGGCAAUUGGUAAGGAAAUCAUUGAGUAUCAACAUGAUCACACAUUGAGAGUUAAAGCAUGCAUGAGGAAUGGUCAAAGUGAGAAAGGAUGCGUACCUUAGCAACGAGUCCCAAUGCGCUAUCAAGAAAUUGGGUUAGUGCACAAUCAAUAAAUAUAAAAUAUAACACACAUGCAUCACUAAAUAGGGUAAUAAAUCCCCGAUGACAAACCUUGCACUUCACUCAGGUUUAUUUCUACUUCUCUGAUGUUGGGCCCCACCAAAGCUCAUUUUAUUUUGCAUGAAUCAACUCCAAUAACUCCAUUAUUCGGAAUUACGAAAUUUAAUUCUUGCUUAUUUUAAAGCAUUUUAAAAAUAGAGGAGAUAUGAGAAUUGCUCGCCAGAAAAGAAGAUGGCGGCAAAAUUUUAAUGAAAAACGAGUUUUUGGAACCUAAGAAAAAUGUUAAGGAUGGAAAAUUUUGGAGGUUUGAAAUUAAUUAAAAAUUAGAAUUGAGGAAUUUAUUUACAAAAUGGGGUUUAGGAAAAUUAUUUUCAAAAAAAAAAAAUGAUGAAAUGAGAGAUGGCACGUGACACAAGGGUGGCCAUGCUGAAGGCGUUCUCUUCUGGCCCAAGCUGGAAAUGCACUCCAAUUAUCCUUCUUUUCUGGUAUAACACCUUCAUCAAAAUAAAUAGCUUUUGCACCAUACUCUGAUAGACAAGGACCAAUAACAAUGCCUAUAUUUGCCUUAAGUAGACAAAGUAAGUCACCCAUUGAACCUCCAAUAUAAAUUGUCAAGUGCUCUGUGUCAUUACUGCAUCCCUCCUUCAAGAUGUCCUUAGAAACCUAAAGCUUUUCCACGACAUACUCCAUCUUCUUAAUGAUUUCACCCGUGGAAAUGGAUUCUUCACAAGCCAACUCAUUUGAAUAUACUCUCAAAACACCCAUAUCACCUGAUGAAAAUGCUGAUCUAACGAAAUCGCCACACCAACAGUAUGAAAGUCCAUGAACAUCUGCUUUCAGAUUAUUAUUUUUAAGAAUCUUUUGGAAGAAACCUGUGCAACCAUCUUGAAGAAUUAGACCUUGACCAACCUGUUUUAUAUCAUCUGAAUUUAAACCCUUCAAUACUCCAGACUGAGUCACUCUUGAAUCUGCCUUUUCCUCAAAAUCAGAAAGUUGCUCAAGUGCUUUACAUAAGCCUUCAUAAUUGAAUUUUUCCACUGUUUCACUGGGGACGAUGCUUCCCAUGCAUUUUUCAAGCUCUUCAGUAUGCUGGGUAGAUAGAACACCCCAUGUGUGUGUCCAGAUCACCAUGAGUGACCAUUUGAACCUUGACGAAUGAGAGAGUACAUAACAUUUAAGCACACAGGACAUAUAUUAACAUUCUCCAUUAGCUUCUCUUUGCCUUUGUCCACCUCUUGACCUCCCAUGCAGCCAACUGUGAAGACCACGUCCAGGUGCAGUCACGUGGUGACACAUCUCAUGGUCUUCCUCAUCCAAUAAAUCACAUGCUCUGUUAAAUCUGCUACCCGAAUGGAUACCUCCUAUCCAUCAACCUGAAUAUACUCCGAGCUUUCUUCAUAAAACCCAAGAAACUCCAGAAGGCAUCAUGGUUCUCCUCCAUCAUUGAAAUGAUUAGGGAUAGUAAAUCACUCAUCCCUUAGCAAUAUCCCAUUUUUAAACCAUAGGGUGCGUAGGCUUCUAGAAUAGUAGCAAAGUGAGCAACACGGAAAAUCUUGCGUGGAUCCAAGUUCCAUGAUGGUGAUCGUAGCCUCACCUUUGAAAUCACAAGACCCAGAACCCAUUCGUUCUUCCUGGUAAUAACUAUCAGAUGCAUAGGAGGCAGGGUUCUUCAGAUUGUUGAUUUGGUAAAAGCCUCUUCUGGUUGAACCCCUGAAUGAUUCACUUUUCUCAGUCCGCAAACCUAGUUCAGAACAGCCCGCAAGAUCAGAACCUUAACCUAGGCGUGGAGAUCCAGUGUUGUAUAACGCCUCAAUUGUCGGAAGCAGCCAUGGCCCAAACAAUGAUAUAAUGGUCAGCAAGUUGUCCCCAAGGACCAUGACAGUGAUGAGCAUUUCCGGGCAGCGCGUCACCACGUUCCACGUCGCGACGGUAAUGGCUAUGGACUGAGUGUCAUGGUCAGGGAGCUUGAUGAAGCAGGUGAAAAUCUGGUGUUUUAGAUUCUGAGGCAAUGACUGCUUGAUCGGUCGGAUUCUAGUACCGGCGUUACAUUGGGGAGGCAAUCUUAAAGUUCCAACGGAGGUAGUAGUGGACUAAUAUUCCUCAAUAACCAAACUUGAGUUUCUCACUUUCCGCUUCUCAAGGCAUUCACCUGAAACGCUUCAGGCGCCCAAACCCUUUCUGCUCAUCAGUAUAAUCACGCGCAUGAAAGUCUUAACUGCCUUCUAAACUUCACAACUUCAUCUUGCAUCUGGGUCAUCGUCGGCACGAACUUAUCACCUGAUUCAGUUAAUAUCCCCAUAUAACAAGUUCCAAUGAAGUCGCAACUUUGCAUCUUCUUUUCUGCGAUUACUUUGAUUCUCAAAGCCGAUUACUUGUUGCAGUCCAUAGGAGAUUCAAUAAUCAAACAUCAUGCACAAGCAAAAAGGCAACAAAAUACAUCGGCAUGUGGCCCAUACACCCUCCAAAAUCUUCACUCAUUUAGUAAGUUUUAGAUUCAAAAGAGUUAGCCUUCUGGUGAGCAACCCGAUACCCAUAACGAAUGAUGUAUCUGAAACACCUUUCCCACGUGGCCCUUGAAGGAUUCACUAGAAGGUGACCAUGCAUAGUAGGUCUUCACUCGCAGGAGAAUGAGAAGGAAAUAAACCUAAAGGGGGGUUGACAGCGUAGUCUAGAAGGUGAUGAGCUGAGCGGGUGGGGGUAUUAGGGUGGUCAAGUUCAGUGGGUAUGAAGGGUGGAAAGAUGGCAUGAUAGAGGAAUAAGCAGCUGAUAGUGGGUGCGAUGAUAUAAGGUAGGUUGACUAUGGAGAGUAUGGCAUUAAAGGAUGAAGACUUAGAGAGAGAGAGGUGGGUUUAAGGGUAUGGUGAGAUGGAGGGUUGAGGGUGAUAGGCUUGGAUAGUUGCAUGAGGAGGAUGAAAGGUGGGUAUGGAAAAUGUGCAUGGGUAGGAAAUGGGUAUAACAAUGGGUGUGAAUAUUGAGAGGUAGUGAAAUGAAGGCAGCCUUGCUCGUAUGGAUCAGUGUCGGAUUGAGUUAAGAAUGGUGAGAGAAAGGGAUUCGAUGAAUAUUGAAUGAUGGAAAAUGGUGAUUGGUUAGAUAGGGAUUUGUGGUCGAAUGGAAAUAGGAGACAUGAACAUAGAGAUGAGUGUGAUGGAUGAUAGUGGGCAUGAAGGGUAUUGGAUUUGUUCAUGGGUAUAGUGGUUAAAAGAGUGGUGAGAAGAAAAAAAAAUGGCCAUGUAAAUAGCAAUUAUACAUGUGGGCCCGUGAUUGCAAACGGGACUGCAUUGUUGCAUCUCAUGCUGAACCCUCACCUCCUUCUAGGAUCAUUUUCUGCAUCAAAGCUAGAUAAACUUAGAUGGUAUUUCCUGCCAAUUUUGGAUGCCCCCCACUUUGGAAAUAUUUCCUUUUCACCCAUCAGAAUAUGCUUAUCAGGUGUACUUGACUCAGGUUCAUUCCCAUAUUGCCUCUCUGAUUUAUGAUCUUCAAAGGUUUUGCAUGAAGGAAGCCUUUCACUGCAUUCCCCUUCAUCCACCAGACCUUCAGAGCAUCGUUUCCAACAAAAGCAACCUUGACUCUUCUAGUCCCAUCAGAAAAAAGUCUGAAUAUCCUCAGUUUAUGUCAUCCCUUGAUGCCCAACUCAGAAAUGAUCCAAAAAACAGUCAUCUCCCAUAUUUGGCUUCCCAGAAACACCUCGACUCAGAUGGCCAGUCCAAAUGUGAUACCCAACAUUCUAAAAAUGCUAAAAACAGAGGAGAUGAUGAAGAAAAACAGAGCAUGUAUAAAAGAAAAAAAAAAGGACUGUUAAAUCUCACUCCAUUCCAUAAAUGCUAAUGGGGUGGAUAUGGUGGAAUCAAAAGGAAGCAAGAGCGUGAUCUUCAAAAUCAAAAGCAAUGAUGGAUCCAUAUUCAAAACGUUCCAGAAUAGAGAAAGACACAAAUAAGGAGCAGGGUUUUUUUUUGUUACUGGCAGGAAGAUAUUUUUUCUAGAGAGUAACUAGAGAGAAAAAUAGGAAGAAAAGGGAAGAGCAUAGAAGACAUCUACAUAGGAGAGUAUUCAUUGUUGUGAGGAGUAGUAGAGAGCUUAGGAGGAGUUACAAAGAGAGUGAGUUUGGUUAGAGGAGGAAGUUUUGUUGGUUUUUCAGAAAGGAUUCUAGCUUGAGUGAGAGCCAUUCUAGAGAGGGUUAGAGAGGAGAAAGGUGUGUUUUGAGCAGCAAAGACACGAAGCAAAAUAGAGCAGCCAGGAAAGAGAAGCAGAAAAUCAAAAUUACUAAAAAAUUAGUGAAAGCUGUGAAAUUUCAUAUUGUUACUAAUUAUUAUAAUUUUUUUUUGUAUUUUCAAUAUUUCAACCAAUAUUUUAUAUAAUUAAAUUUAAAUUAUAAGAAUUAUAUUAUUAAUACACAUAACUAUCUUAAUGUUUUAACAAUGUAUACUUAUUUAAAUUUAUUUCAAUUUUUUUAUUUUUUUAUAAAUAUCUAAUUAGACUUAUAAUUCAUUGAAAUUAUUCAUUUUUUUUUUACUUCAUAAACCAAUUAUAUUACUUUUUGUAUUUUCAAUAUUCAUUUGGAAAAAAUAAUUUCAAUUUAAAAUAAAAUAAAUUAAUUAACUCUCAAUUUAUAAAUUGUGUCAUUGAAUUAUUUUUUAUUUAUAAUAUUUAGUUUAUUUUAAAUUUAAUUUUUUUUCUUCACCUUUUGGUUUAUCACUUUAUAUUAAAAAAUAAAAUAAAAUUGAAUUUCUUUUAAUUUAUAUUUUCACAAAUUAUUCAAUAUUUUUUUAAUUUUUAUAAAAUAAAUCCUCAGAUUAUAUAAUUGGAUGUUGUAAAGAGUUAAAAUUUUUGUGUUGCAUUGAAUUAUUUUUUCUAACAAAAGUAUAUUUGGGUACCGUAGACAUUAUAUCCAUAUCUUAACGUAUUAUAUACUUUUAUUUUGUGCAAUUAGCAAUUGAGCGGAAGACGCGGAGCCGGCUAACGGAAAUACCGCGUGUCACGCGUGUCCCUUCCCGUACCAAGUCUCAACUGCUUCAAGAUUUCCGACGCGCCCUUCUUCGCUUAACUCUUAAGUCUUUUCUUCCACUCUUCCUUAAACCCAUCACAUUUCGCCGCGUGGACCUAAGUCUCAAUGUCCUUGUGUUCAUACGAUGUAUGUUCCCCCAAUUCCUCAUCUACACUGAAACUCCAUACUCGCCUACUCAAUCACUUCUCUACUCUAGAGUCUGGAUGCUUAUCUCUGCGCGUGUCGAUGGCUCUUCACCCCAGCGAGUAUGGCAUUACAAGGGCAAUAUCGUCAUUAAAGACACAACAGAGUGUCUAUUUUAUUUAAGCUGUACGUAAUCGUGAUUGACUUCUUAGUAUCCUUUUGCUCCUAGUCUUCUCCCGCGUCUCUUAUAAAAACUAAAGAAAACCACUCCAAGAGAGCACACUACAAGAAUCUUCUUCCUUUUUUUCUUUCCUCUUUCUCUUUACAGAUAAACUGAGAAAGCCCAGCUCAUCCCUCAAUUCCCAGAUGGGUUUCAUGAAUGUUCUCAAGUUCUCAGCUGCAUGCUUUGAUCUUCUUGGCUGGUAUGUUGUCCACGCGUUUUCUUGCCAUUGGAAAUUUUUGGGAAAUGAAGUGGAAUUCUCUGUUUGAGGACAAACAUGGGAUUUUCUUUGAUUUCUCCCUGUUGGUUUUAUCUAUAUUCUUUGAAUUACCCACAUUCUUGUCAUUGAUUGUUAGUCAUUUGUUUGGAUUUCUACUUGCAGGCCUCUAUGUGCACUGGGUUAUCCUCUGUAAGUCUUGGUCUUACACCUCAAGAUAUGAUGAUUCAUUUACUCUUUUCUUGUUCUACGAAUGGUUCAGUUACAUUUAUUGUGUUGGGAAACUGAAAAGGAAAAGGAUUAUUAGUUAUUAUCGUAAUAAUCAUCAACAUCAUCUCGGUUCUUCACAGAUGUGCUUCAAUUCGGGCAAUUGAGACUAACUCAAUCUCAGACUUUCGGAAGUUGGUGGCGUAUUGGGUUCUAUUUUCCUUGAUUUCACUCUUUGAUCAUGCUUUUUCCAAGCUCCUUGAAUGGUAAUUUUGCUCAACUGCAUUCCACUAUAUGUGACUCUGUUUGUUUCAUUUCUUUGCCCUUAAGGAAUUUGGAGUUGCUUUUUUCAGUUUUCUUUCCUAUGAAAAUAAUCGAGAGGUCUCCAUGUAUUUUAUAUUCCUUCAUUUCUCUGCUUUGACAAAGGCCCACAUUCUGAUCAGCAGAAAGGUUAUAACAUUUGAAAAAGAAGUGCUUUAUUUUUGUUUUUUGUUAGUACAAUAAUUUUCGUUUGGAUAAAUGGUCUGAAGGGUGUUUGUGUUUGGCUGAGUUCAUGGAAUUUUCUAGCUAAUUUGGGAUUUAUUCUCAAUUUCAAGAUCAUUGUGGAUAUGUCAGAAAUUAAUGAAAUAUAAACGGUGGAAUGUGAUUUUCUUGUUUAAGAAAAGUUUUUCUUUGAAAAUACGGGUGCACCUGACCUACCUUAUUGUGCUACUUGGAACACAAAACAUUAGUACAGGUAAUUUAUUAACUAAAUUGUACACUUUUUGAUAGUUCAAGGAGGUGGUUUUCUUCUUUUAGGGUGUCAGCUUUGGAAAUAGGAUGGAUCUAAAAGUUUUUAUGUCUCAUCUUUAUAGGGAACUUGAAAGCAUGGAUGCACUUAUUUCCAUGGAAUUUGGCUUCCUUGAAAUCAAAUUAAGCUUUAUGCAUCAUUUGGAUGCUGAGAAACAAAUGGAAAUAGAAAAUUCAGAAUCUGACAAGUUUUUGUAGGGCAACUGGAUCUAAUCUCUUAGUCGAAGCCUAAUUGGGGCAAAUGCUGAUCAUCUUUGGACCCCAUUGAAAGCUCUAAUCUGUGCACAAUUCUAAUGUUUUUGUUUUCUUCAUUUCUUUUUCAACUUUUCACAAUAGAUGUCAAAGGUUAAAACCAAAUUUACGCAGUCCAUCCAAGUGGAUGCAUAUAAAUUUAACAGAAACUGAAAUUCGAAGAAAUUUAUUUUCCCUUUUGUAAAUGGUGUUUAAAUAUUUUAUUUUCUUAUAUAAUGCAUGUCAGGGUACCAUUCUGGCCUUACAUAAAGCUGAUGGUCAUCUGCUGGCUGGUGAUACAGCAGUUUGAUGGUUCAUAUUAUGUCUAUCAACACCUAGUUCAGCCAUGCUUGUCCAUGGAUCCACAAGCUGUCAUGAACUGGCUCUUCAAUGAAUCAAAAAAGAAGUUUCAUAGCAGAGAAAACUUUCUUGUUUCAGCAGACCGAUAUAUUAAGGAGAAUGGACCUGAAGCUUUGGAGAAACUACUUUCUAGGAAGGUAUGCCAUUAUAAGUAGGAUUAUCAACAAGUCAAACAGAGUUUUAUUUGAGAUGUUCAGGUAAAAAAUGACUAUAGUAGGUCAUCUAGAAUCAUUUGGUCUAAAUUCAUGUAUAUAUCUAUAUAUAAUUGUGUUCUCUUUUUUUCACAUAUGCAUGUGCAUUUAGAUUUACAUAAUUAUAUAUGCAUAAUCAGAUUCAACUGUGAUAGCCCGGAAUUAUUUCAGUAAUCAACUCUUCUGGGAACAUGUUGGUUAUGGUUUCUCUCUCACUGUCCUCUUCUUUAUACAUGACUUUGGCUUCAGUUGAGGAGCGCAAAGCCUAAUGUUGAAGUGAAAAAGAUCAAAGCACCUGCAGCACCGGAGAAAAAAGGGGAACAGGUAAGUUCUCUAAUGUGACUAUUUAAUUUCUAUGAGGCAGAUCCCCAGAGAAAUGUUGCUCAUGUAAAUUACUGAUGCAUUUGAUUCAAUGGCAUGGUUUUAAAAGAAAAACCACUUUAUGUAUGUUUCUGUGAAUAAGAGAACAAGUUUAUGGAUUAAAUGAUAUUUUUUAUGGUGGAUUAAUCAAUAAUUUUCAAAAUAAUAAUAUAUUCGUGCAUGUUUUUGCAAUUCAUGAAUUCCUUUUAUGAUUGAUUCUUCUUGCCUUUUUUCUCACCUCAGUGGAAGUGUGAAGAGCCUAAUGUUGCUCAAAAGGAGAUCCAAGUUGUCAAAGUAACAGAGAUAAAAAAUGGGGGGGAUGGAGCAAAGAGGGUAAGUUUUGCUUUUUAUUUAUAAAGUAGGCUGUCUUCACACAAGGAUUAUUAUCUUUAAGACAUGAAUGUUGAAUGCUUUUGGAAUUGUCCAUGAAUCAUGUGUAGUGUGAAUGGCCUAAUGCUGCUAAGAAGGAGGUCAAAGUGACAGAAGUAACACACAGAACAUUCGGUGGUACAGCACAGUGGGUAAGGUUUCAUGUCAUAUUUAAAUGGCUCCUCAUAUUUCACUAGGAUUAAUUUUGCCCCUACAAACAUAUUUGGCUACAAGUUAAGACAGAGUUCCAGAUGCUGAUAAAGUUGAGACAUAAGUAAUGAAUGAGUUUAGAAACAUGCACAACUCUUGUGUGAAACACAAUGAGAGUGGAAAAUAGCUAAGUUGAAAAAUGGCCAAAUACUAUUUUGUAGUUCCCCCUACCACUUAAGUAAUUUUUGUCAUCCUUUGUGAAUGGAAAAUCCAGUCCCUUCAGUAAUUCCGUUAUAUUCAUGACUUGGUGAAGCAUAUAACCAUUAGUGUCUUGCCUUAAGUCGACCUUUAAUGAUGAUCCAUUGAGAUGGGUCUGACUUUUGUCAACCCUCUUAUUCCCUUGAUCAUAGAGGUUAAACUUAGGGGGCUUAACCCACUUUUGAACCUUAUUGGAUAUAUGGCACAUGGUAUCCUCUUCAUCUUGAAAGAGUGAAGUGGUCAUACUCUUUCCUCUGAGUCCAUUGUGGCCAUGCACUUCUGGCCCAUUGGGCUGAGUGAAAGGAUUCCCUUCUGCUUCAAAUCAUAGAGAGAUAUGCCAUGGUCAGCCUCUUUAAUUCAAGGGAUCGAAGUACUCAAAUCCAUUUCUCUGCAUCCAUCUUAAUUCUGCAUUCAUGUCUCAUGGUUAACCAAGAAGAUCCAGCUUCCAUCCAUGAGAUCAGCAUCUGCAGGUUUAUGACACCACCCUUCCUUGGCAUAGGAAAGGGAUCAUUAAGCCAUGUGUUGGAUGACAGAAGUCAUCAUUCAGGUUAUCUUGAGAACUAAGGAAGUUGGAAUUCUAAUUAUUGCAUAUGGUUCUUGAUGUUUAGCCAAUAUACCGUAGGAUUUUAAGGAUCAUGCUCAUGUGCAUUGUGGUUGUUUAUCAGCUAUAUGGUUUACCAAAAUGAGGGACUGAUUAUGGUCAUAAGUACCUUUUUCCUAUUAAUUUCUUGCAUGUGCUCUGCUGAGAUUAUGUUUUUGACAGUCCAAAUCAGGGCAAACCAACAAACAGCUUUAUGUUAACUUUUACAAACUGCCACAUUUUCAGGUUAAACGAACAGAGAUAAAUCUUGGUGAAACUAGAAGUAAUACAACUUGUGCUGUGGAGAUAAAAGAAAGGGCAGCGGCACUGGUGGCUGCAGAAAUUGAGGCAUGUAGAGACGAUAGAACCCCCAAGAUACCUCUUCAUGAGAAAGUCCAGAAAGAGUGGGCUUGUGCUGUAUGCCAGGUCACAACCCAAAGUGAAGCGACCUUCAAUUCCCACCUUCAAGGGAAGAGACAUCAGGCCACUUCUGAGCAGCUGAGAGCCAAAAACCAGGCAACCAAAACCAAUUGUUCCCCAUCUGCUUCAAUGGCCAAGAAAUCUGAUCAGUCCACCAAAGAGGAGCAACCGAAGUGUACUUCCAACAAUCUGAAUUCCAAAAACAAUGGAAUCUCAGCUGCUUCAACAGUGAAGAAACCUGAUGACACCAAAGAUGAUGAGCGACAAAAGUCUGCAUCUAGCAAUGAACCGAACCAGAAGAAUAACAAAAAGCAAGAGGUACAGACCAAUGAGCAAGGCCAUCAGAAGAACUUAAAGCAAACUGGCGAUGGAAUGAAAGAGUUGAGAUUAUGCUGCAAUAUCUGUAAUGUAAGCUGCACAAGUGAGCUUGACAUGGCCUCUCAUCUCAAUGGAUGGAGGCACUUUAAUAUGAUAAAGGAGGCGUCUGAAUUAUGGUGCAGUAACUGCAAUGUAAGGUGCAACAGUGAGGCUGUCAUGGCCUCUCACCGAAAUGGGAGGAGGCACUUGAAGCAGCUGAAGGAACGGUCGGGAUUAUAGUGCAGUAUCUGUAGCGUGAGAUUGUGUUAGGAAGAGGUGGAAUGGGUUCCAAUCAGGAAUUAAGACUCGGUUCCAAGACAUGGAAAGUGUCUUUAGAUUAUGUUAUCUCCAUUUUUUUUAUUGUGAGAGGGGAGUAUAAGGAAUGAAAAUAAAUAUAUAUAUAUUUUUUAAUAGAGAUGAAUUUGAUAAUUUUAAUUAUUGUGUUUUGAUGUAUUUAGGAAUGUAAAAUUAAAAUAAUUAUUUAUUUUCAUUUUAGUAUUUGACAAUAAUAAAAUUAUGAAUUAAAAAAUAAUGUGAUAAUAAUACAUUUAUAUUUAAUUUAAAAUAUUUUUUAUUUUAUUUUAGAAGAAUAUGGGUUAAAUUCUUUUUUUAAAUAAUAAGCUUAAGAAAAAUAAUUUUUACUCAAUAAAUAAAAUUAAUCAUAAAAAGUCAUAACAACCUAAUAAAAAUAUAGGGGUAAAAUAAUAAUUUUAAAAUAUUAUUUAAGUUAUCCAAACAAAUUUGACUCUUCAUUCUCUCUCUUGAACCAAAUACGGUCUUUUAAGCGUUUGUCAACUUAUUUUUUUUUGCAAAAUAUCAAUAUUUUACUAAUAUUUUUAUCGAUUAUUUGCCAAUAUUUAUCGCCACGUCACCAAUUCUUUGAGUUUGACUUUCAAAAUUUUGAAAUGAUAUUUGAAGUCCAGUUCAGCCCAAAUCACUACACCCAUGAUUUUUCCCUUUUCUUUUUCUCCUUAAUUUUCACAUCACCCAACAACACUACUCUUAAUUCACACAAAUUUGAAGGUUUGGAACGAGACUUCUUCCUAAUUAUAUUGUAAUUAUGUUAUAAUAACCAUGUCGUAUUUGGAUUUAUUUAUUCAGUCCAUCUAAAUCUUUUGUUUAUUCAUGUAAAAAGAAUAUAGUUAUAAUCGAAUCCAUUUGUGACAUAUUCAUCUUUUAUAAAUUUAUUAAUUUUAUAUAUUUAAAAACUAUAAAAAUUAAAUAUAUUUUUUCAAUUAUGAAUAUCAUAUUACUAAAAUAUUAAAUAACUAAUUAACUUGAAAUGUUUUAUAUUUCAUUCAUUAUUUUAUAAUUACAACAUUAAGUGAAAUAAUAAAUAGGUUAAAAUAUAUAUUUUAUUUUAGUUAAAAAUUAUAAAUUGUUAUUGAGACGUAUAACUAUUAAAAUUCUACCCAUUUGACCAUCAAACAAACAACUUAAGUUUUUAGUCAUAAUUUAAGCUUCUGAUAAACUCUAUUUCCAUAAAUUAGAAACCGAAAUCAAUUUCUUCUUAGACUCAAAAACAUAAAGACAAUCUUUUAAUUCUAGAAGACAUCUAUCAUUUAAGAUAAGGGUAACAUAUCCCAUUGCCUAAACAACAACUCUUGCUUCAAAAGCCAAUGUCAAGUACAUAUCCCUAUCAUUCAACCUUUCCCUUAGCUAAAACCCCUAUAAAGAAUUAUAAACAUAAUCAAUGGCUCCAAAAUUUAUCCACCAAGAGUUAGUGGAAUCCAACACUAAACAUAAUUCAACUAUAAGAGAAUGAUGCAUAGUUGACUAUCUCUUCAAGAACUAAGGACAUUCCUUCUUCUUCUAAUGGCAUUUUUUACCACAAAGGAAACACUUGUCAUGACCCUUACUCUUCUUCUUCUUCCCCUUAGCCUUAAACUUCCCCUUCUGCUUGAUGAACUCUAUAGUGUUCUUCUUAUUUUGGCUAGAAAAACCUAAAGAACCCUUAACUGCCAUAUAAAUACCUCUCUGGUCCUUGAGAAUUCCCUCAGUCAUUUUGUGUUCUCUCAUUAGUUCAAUUGUAGUUUAAGAAAAAUAAUGUUUUUUAUUUUAUUUUAUGUGAUUGAACUUGGAAUGAAUUUCCAAGUUGCAUACAUACUUGGGUUGAGAUCAAGUCAUAACGUAGUUUAAGAAAAAGAUUUUUUAUUUUUUAUGUGAUUGAACUUGGAAUGAAUCUCUAAGCUACCUACGUAUCCAAGAUGGGAUCAAGUUCUAACAUAGUCACAAUGCAGUUCAAGAUUUUUUUUUUUCUUUUUUUGUGCUCUAACUUUUGUCAAGACUAAAGAUCUUAAUCUUGCAAGCAUGUCCUAACUUUUGUCUAGGUCACCUUUCCAAGUUUUCAACUUAGCAAACAUUUUUUUUUUUUGUUCUCUAACGUUUGCCAAGACAAAAGAUUUUAAUCUUGCAAGCAUGUCAUAACUUUUACCUAAGUCAGAUUUUUAGGUUUUCAAUGUGGUGGAUUUUUUUGUUUUUUAUUUUUUAUUUUUUAUUUUUUGUGUCGUAGGCAAUUUAGCUCAUACGGCCCAGAAGCGAUGUGUAGUUUGUUGGGAUUCAACCCUUAAAAGCAAAACAUGAUGUAACAAAGUUAGACUUAACUAUCCCCUUGCUAUCAUUUUGGUGUAUUAACAUUGAUUUAAACAUUCAACUCAUAUUUUACAUUGUACAUGACUUAGGUGCAUUAGGAGUUGCUCAUAAGAUACAUGGAUUCCUUGUAAGUAGAUGAGUUAUCCAUAGUCAGUUCAUGGAUUUGGGCAAUCUAGUAGAGACUGUAAUGCACCACCUCUUAAUUGAAGAGAUGACUUGUCUUGACAGUUGGGAUAGGUUUCCUAUGGUGAGUGCACUAGUAUAUAUGAUGCACAUUGGAUAGGACCUACGGUAAAUCAUGAGCAAAGCUAUCAAUUGUCAUGAUUCACCAAGUUACGAUACUGCAUGGACUCUCAAUCUUGAGAGGACAUUGAACCUGUGCCAAAAUCAACAAAAAGCUUUCACCUAUAGAUGAGACCUUAAAGUGAUCAUAUAUCCCUAUGGAUUGAGUCACUAUUGAUGAAGGUUGGUGGUAAUAGGUAUUCUCAAUAGAGGCACCAUGAUAUCUCAUGAGAUUGAGACGGUGUGUCCCCUUGGGUGAUACAAAGGACAUGUGAUCAUAAAAUCUGUGACCAUAGUAAUUCUUUUAUUGAAAUUUGACAUAUACCCCUUCGAGCUAGAGUAUGUCAGUUGAUUACAUAAUAAGUGGCAUCUAUAACUUAAGGAUUUGAGAGGUAAUCUUGAUAGGUGAUAGCACUACCUUGUUAGAUUAUGGACACCAGUUCAUGGGGAAUCUACAUGCAGUGGAUGAUAUGUCACGAACGCGAGCUUCAUAUCGUUGUUAUUAACAUAGGAUACUGGAGUGCAAUUGAUUCUCUUUAGUAGAAUGUUGAAUCAACUUCAAAAUGGAUUAUGAGGGAGCCAAUACUCCUAUGGGUCUUAAUGGUCCCCACUCUGAGCUCAUAUACCAUGAUGACACAGUUUAUGAGGGUUUGAUUGGCUUUAUGUUCAUUUUUGUGCAUAAGGGCAUUUUGGUAAUUACACAAGGUUACAUAGGGGAUAGUCAAUAAGGUCUUUAGAUUGGGCCAAUUGAUUAAUUAGAUGACCUUAUGUGGUUAAUUAAUCAAUUAUGAUAUGUUUAGGCUAGAUUAAAUGACCCAAGCCUUGAUGAAUUUAAGUCACUUAAGCCUAGCAGAUAACCUUAUAAAUACCCUCUUAUGGGUUAGGGUUUCCUAAUGACUUUCAGUUAAUCAUCUUCCAUCCCUAGAAAGAGAAAGAGAGCCAAAUCUUUCUCCCUUCCAUUGCCCACACUUUGGUAUGCCAAGAUCAUGGUUCAAGUCACUGGGAGGAAGAUCUUGGGUGUACAAGACCUUCGGACUCUUUAAGUUUCUUCUUCGUUGGAUGAAUUUUUAUUUGGGACACAUCUAGAUCAUAAGUAUGUGUUAGAAAAUUUGGCUAAUUCAACUUAAGGUAAUCACUCUAGAGGAGGGGUGAAUAGGGUGAUGAUCUUUUUUUACAAAUUUAAAUUAUGUGAAUGCAAGAGACAAUUAUACUAUGCAAAUAUAUAGUAAAACCAUAUAAAAAUAAUUGCAUAUAAAGUACAAGGGUAGAAAAUAGAGAAUAUAAACACAAGAUUUUUAUAGUGGUUUGGUGCAACUCGGCCUACAUCCAUUCUCCUCUAGCUUCAAUCCCAAGUUUGAGGUUCCACUAAUUCAAGGCUUCCAACCUAACCCUUCAAGCAAUACAAUUGGAUUAUGGUUCCAAUCAAACCUUUUGGACUUUUGGCUCUAAGCACCUUUUACAAUCUUUGAUUCGUGCCUAACUGGUGUUUGCCCUGUUGAUUGGUGUUCAAUCAACUGAUGUGCUUUGAUUUCAGUCCUCAGACGAGAGUAAUCAACAAAAUUUAUAAACCUAUUUCACCAUAUACUAGGGUAGCAUUAGCUAGCAUAGCAUAGUGGCUCUAGGAUCGUCCACAGGGAUGGGUUUUCAAAUUACAAUUGAUAUUAGUUCAAAAACUGAAUUGGUGUUUUUUCUUUUCAAGGUUAGCUUUAAAAGAAAACAUAAGUAUGUGUGAAAAGGUUGGUUUUAAGUGAAACCAAAAAUAAAGUAACUGAAAUUACUUACAAAGAAAAGUGCUUCUUGGAGUUUUAGAUCACUAGGCUCAAGUUCCUUAUACAAAAAGAGAGAUUCCGAUCACUUGGAUCUUUUCCUAGCAUUGGGGAUUUAACAUAUAGUUAUUUCCCGAACCGGUGCGGUACAGAUGCUUCCCCUUAAUGGUUUCAAACACUAAAUCUCUAUCACUGAAUCAUCUUGUAAUGGUUCAUACCUCUCACCUGGUAUUGGUCAUUUAAGGUGAUCAUUAACCUUGGAUUACCCGUCAAAAGCUCGCAAAAGAUAACUAAUGAAUGUCUCCUAGGAGUCCAAAAGCUUACCAAGUGUUGGCUAUUCUAGAUAAUCCUACCUUUAAACCAUCUCCCAAAAGCUCGCAAGAGAUAAACUAGUGGAUCUCAAUGGACGGAGUCCACUUGCCUUACCAAGUGUUGGCCCAAGUGAUUUUAAGGGAUUUUAAGUUAACUAAAAAGAUAAAAACCAUUAACGGGUCACACUUUCUCUUCAUUAAAACCUGAAACAAUGAAACUUCCACUUUUGUAUACGAAACCUUACCUAGCUUCCUUCACUCCAAGAAACAAAAAGCCUAGCCACUCAUCCUCUAGGAAAACAUCCUCAGAGUUUGAUUUGGUAGAAAUAAAAAUAAAAGAGAAAACCAAAUGUGAAGGUAAGGCCGAGCAGAGCUCUGUGUAUUACUUUAUGAAAAACUAUACAAAAUUUGUCUCUAAGAGAAACUCCCCCGAGAUCUCUUUUAAAAGAAAAUUACAAUAGAUAUCAUAUAAAGAGGCUAUUCACCCCUCUUGCUAACUUCCCAACCAUGAAAACUUGUCAAUGGUGGGUUACAAGGAGAAAAUAGGGAUUUACACACAAAUAUUUGAAGAUAAACAUCAAACUGAGUCGGUGCGCAAAUAUCUCAGAUUACAAGUGGAUUUCGCAAGUUCAAACGCAACUUGCAAAAAUUUUGCAAGUUGAAAUUAUGGUUUCGCAAGUUGCGAAAUUGUCCUGCAACUAAUCAGCUCUCUGUCCUACAACAAUUCCUUUCCUCUUCCUAUUUCGCAAGUUGUGAGAAUUUCGCAAGUUGGAUUCCACAACUUGCAAAAUUGUUGGAUGGUUGAUUUCUUUUGUGAUUUUCUUCCUUGCAUCCUCAUUUGGCUUUGGCAAAGGGUUAUGAAGCUCCAAAGCUUAGUUUCUUCAUGAAUUUGAGCUUCAACUUGCUUUGCCAUGAACUAUACAAAGAUCUCCCUCAUUCUUGGAUUGCUUUGGUGAUAAAAAAGCUAUGAAAAACACCAAAACUUAACACAAUUUGAUUAGAAACGAUUGUAAGGGUCUUUAACAUGCCAAUUGAGUUAAAAGGUAAUAGCUACUACUCAAAAGUGUUUAAAAGAGUUAAUUACAAGCUAUAAAAUGACCCUUUUUGAAGUUCAACCCCUUAAGUGAUACCCCUUAAGUGAUACCCCUUAAUUCAAGAGAUGUCUUACUCUUAAACAACCCCUUAAGUGAUACCCCAUACUUGAGAUUCCCUAAGUGAUGCCUCACACUUAGAUUUUUCAUCUCAAAGAUUUACAAAUGAAGAUAGGAAAUAAUCUCACAAAAUCUUAAUACAAAACAUUAGGCUCAAAUGAUACAAGAUAAACUAUGAUUGAAUGGUGCACUAAUAAUAUGCAAGUUUUAAAACAAUGAGUACUAAAAAACACUCUCCUAAGGUUCAAAUAUAUUCAAGAAAGAUUUAAGAAGGUUAAACUCUUGAAACAAUAAAGAUUGAAACCUUUUUAUGGAGGAGAAAUGCCAAACUAGUUGUUGGGGGUUUGUCCAGUCGAGUUCUGGUUUGACCGGUUCACUAACCGUUAGCAUUUAAUGCAUGAUAGGUGAUCAUUGGGCCUUGACCAUCCCUCGACCAGUACUCAACCGGAUAAAGUUCAACCUUAAUCAAUCGAAUAAGCAUUCUAGAAUAGAGAGAAGGUUUUUGCACCUUUCAAUCAGUUGAGUUGAACAAAUAGACGGAUUCCUUAUCCAGUUCAACCGGUUGAGCCAUUUUUGGCUCAACAAUCAUCAUUUUCAACUUAAAACCUUUUAAACAAGUUUAGAAAGCAUUUGACACAAGGAUUUAGUUGAAAACAUUAAAUCAUCCUAUUUUUAAAAGAUUUAAAACAAAAUACCUCUUGAAUGAUUUUGGUGUAUAAGUAAAUAAUGUAAUGCAUGAAAAACCCAGUGCGCCAACAACCUUACAAAGAGAUCUUAUGAGGCUUAGGUAUUGAAAAACACUUCUCUUUAAGGCAGACAACAUCGUGUGAAUACCAAAGGGGAACUCUACGUUCCUAGGGAAAGAUGCCUCGUCAGUACGUCUUGAGGUUGUUCACUAACUUCGGGGUUACCGGCUUUGAGAGGAGCCCUUUGAUGACAUUUGGGCAUGCAACUCUUCAUUUUCUUCCUUGAUUCGCCUUGUUUGGUGGAUCAAAGAUUGCAUAUGCCAGUCAUUUUUGCACUAGGUUCUCUCCAUGCUUUCACGCCAGCCAAAGUAGCUUUCGUUACCCAUAGUUGAGGAUCGGCUUCUAAAGGGUACUAACAUCCUUAGUCAUUCCCACAGAUGACACCAAUGUUGGUUCUGAGUCGGCUGAAGUCAAAUUCAUCCAACUUAACGGAAGUUUGACAACCUUCCUCCAUUUUUUGUGCCUCUUAGAGAAUCCACCUAGCAGUAAUGAGAUUGGGCGAACUCCUUUCUUGCACAAAAGAAUGUUCAGAUGAGUACUUCGGGUACGCCCUUCGAAGCUUAAGUGAGGCAAAAAUAGCUCAAACUACUUAAUGAGAGAGAGUGGAUAGGUGAAUAUGUGCCUACCUUGUUCGUGCUUUUUGAGGGGUUUAUAUAAUGUUGAUGAGAAUGCCACUAUAGUGCUUACUAGACACUUUAACUUUCUUCUAUAAUGAUGAUUGUCUUGCAGGCGGUUGGGCAAUCAUCAAAAUUUUGGGUGGCUGAUAGGUGCCAUCAACUAACGUGCCAUGAUCUUAGACCAUGCAGUAACCUGUUCCCUCAGUCUGUUGAUGGCCUAAGGUUAUGUGCAACAAUUAAUUGACAUGGACUUGAGGGCUAGAAGAGGUCCCAUCGGCCGUUCACAUGUCAAGUGUGAAUGAUCACUCAUGCUAGUGGGUCUUGAAGAUUUGACUAGACAACCUUACCUAUUUGGGAGGUCCAACCUCCCAUUGCCGUUGUUUUGGCCUUAUAGGAGAAAAGGGCUUUCUCAUGUAUGGUGCUAGAGGGACUAGUCGUGAUCCAGAUGAGUUGCAUACCCAUGCUAGAUGGUCGAAGUGUCCGGGUUGGAAAUGGAGGGAAGCCUCCCACAAAUAUGAGGGAGCCUUAUGAAAACGGAUCCUUAGGGCUUAAGAAGGGGUUUUCAAUUUUAAGGUUUGCCUUUUCACCCAAGGAUGUGAAUGGGAAGAUGAGGCGAAGUUAAAAGAUUGGUGAAGCAAAGUGAGGGCAAGGUAGGGUUUGAAUAAAGGAAAGUAUACACUAUUAAUGAAGAUGAUAAUCUCUAGAAAGAAAAACUAAGGUAAACUAGGGCUUUAAUAAUAAUUUUCAAUCUACACUAGUGAAGAGGAUAUCUUCGAAAACCAAAGUUAGGGCUUCAAUAACGAAUUUCAAUCUACAAUGGUGAAGACAAUAAUCUUCGAAAACCAAAUCUAUAAUGAUGAAGAUGAUUGAAAACUAAAUCUAUACUAGUGAAGACGAUUGGAAAGCAAAUCUACACUGGUGAAGACAAUGAAACCAAAUGUAGGUCUUCUAAACUAAACGCUUUUAAGGAUUUUCCUUUUUUUUUUCCUUUGUUUUCAAGAAAGGCAAACUCUUUAGAAAACUAAAAAAACUAAUGCAUUCUUAGAUCCAGAUCACUAUUUCCAACAUGGUAUUUGGAUUGCCAGCUUGCAUUUUUUAUUUUUUUAUUUUUUUAAUAGUCAUUGGCAUUUUAGGGAUUAUUGAAGGAUAAUAUCAUUCAGCUCAAUUUCCCAAAUUAGUUAGGUCUUACACUCAAAUGUGAAACUUAUAUGGAUGUUAGGCCAAUUAUCAAACUCAUCUGCCCUAAAACAUAAUUUCCCUUUUUUAAAAUAGUUGUUAAACAUCUAUCCCAAACACGUUUAACCCUUUGAAUUGCUUGUAUGUUAACCUUGUUUCCUUUUCUUCAUGCAACAUGGCUUAUUGAUGGUUGCAUUGAAUCAUUAUCAUUCACCAAUUCCAUGCAACUAUGGACUACAUUUCAAAUCCCUCGAACAUAAAUGGUAAUUCCAAAACAACUCAAGUAUAAUCUUUUCAACCCUUUCAAAUGAUUUAAUUAAUUGAUUUUUGAAUAUAUUCAUAUAUUUUUUUGAGCAAUUUUUAGGCAUAUAACAUAAAUCUCUUUUUUAUAUAUAUAUAAAAGGUUUUAUAUUUUAUAUUACAAUUUCCUUUUGUUUUUUCAUCUAAAAAACAAAACAUAAAACCUUAAUAAACGAGUUUUGUCACAAUCCCUUAACAAGUAAUCUAUUUUUUAAAUUACUUUAACAUUUUUAGAUAUAUUGAUUCAAUCUAAUUUACUUUUAAUAUUUUUUAUAAAAUAUUUUUACUUUAUAUGACUAUAAAUUAAUUACUAUUGAUUGCAUAUUAUAGAAUAUAUAUUCUAAAAUAUAUCUUAUUGACAAUAUAAUCAUAAGAUGUUAUAUCCAUAUCCUAACAUAUUAUAUACUUUUAUUUUGUGCAAUUAGCAACAUGGUGGGAAGUGGCAAGCAGCUUAACGGAAAUGUCAUGUGCCAAUGUGCCAUGCGUGUCCCUUCCCUUAGUGAGUCUGAACUGCUCCAACAUUUCCGACAUGUUAUUUUUUACUUAGCUCUUAAGUAUUUUCGUCUCGUUUUCGUUAACCCCAUCACAUUUCGCCACAUGGAUCUAAGCCUCAUGGUCCUUUCGUUCGUACAAUGAAUGUUCCCCCAAUUCCUUAUCUACACUAAAACUCCAUACUCGCCAUCUACUCAACCACUUCUCUACUCUAGAGUUUGGGUCCUUUAUCUCUGCACGUGUCUAUGGCUUUUCACCCCAACAAGUAUGGCAUUACAAGGGCAAUAUCGUCAUUAAAGACCCAAAAGGGAAACCAAUGGCAUUAUCUUCCUUUUGGUCUAUUCUAUUUAUAUUGUAAGUUAUUCGUGAUGACUUCUCCCAUAAAAGCUAAAAACCACUCCAAUAGAGCACACUUCACUUCUUCAUUUUUUUUUUUCCAGAUAAGCUCAGAAAGCCCAGCUCAUCCCUCAACUCCCCGAUGGGUUUGAUGAAUGUUCUUAAAUUCUCAACUGCAUGCUUUGAUCUUCUUAUCUGGUAUAUUGUCCACGCAUUUUCUUGUCAUUGGAAAAUUUUGGAAAAUGAAAUGGAAUUCUAUGUUUGAUGACAAAACUGGGAUUUGCUUUGAUUUCUCCAUGUUGGUUUUAUCCCUUUUGUUUGAAUUGUCCACAUUCUUGUCAUUGGUUGUUAGUUAUUUGUUUGGAUUUCUACUUGUAGGCCUCUGUUUGCACUGGGUUAUCCUCUAUAAAUCUUGGUCUUACACACCAAGAUAUGAUGAUUCAUUUACUCUUUUCUUGUUCUAUGAAUUCUUAGUUCUGUUACAUUUAUUGGGUUGGAAAACUGAAAAAGGAAAGGAUUAUUCGUUAUUAUCAUAAUAAUCAUCAACGUCAUCUCAAUUAUUCACAGAUGUGCAUCAAUUCAGGUAAUUGAGACUAACUCGAUCUCAGACAUUCAGAAGUUGGUGGCAUAUUGGGUUCUAUUUUCCUUGAUUUCACUUUUUGAUCGUACUUUUUCCAAGCUCCUUGAAUGGUAAUUUUGUUCAACUUCAUUCCAUCAUAUGUGGCUCUAUUUGUUUCAUUUCUUUGCCCUUCAGGAAUUUGGAGUUGCCUUUUUUAGUUUUCUUCCCUGUGAAAAUAAUCGAGAUGUUUAAUGUUCCAAGCCUCCAUGUAUUUUAUUUUCCUUCAUUUCUCUGCUUUGAUAAAUCCCCAUGAUUUGAUCAGCAAAAAGGCUAUAACAUUUGACAAAGAAAUGCUUUAUUUUGGUUUUUUAAGUACAACAAUUUUCAUUUGGAGAAAUGGUCUAAAGGGUAUCGGUGUUUGGAUGAAUCAUGGAAUUUUCUCGCUAAUUUGGGAUUUAUUCUCAAUUUCAAUAUCAUUGUGGAUAUUUCAAAAAUUAAUGAAAUAUAUAUGAUGGAAUGUGAUUUUCUUGUUUAAGAAAAGUUUUUCUUUAAAAAUUUAGGUAACCCUGACCUACCUUAUUGUGCUACUCGAAACACAAAACAAAAGUACAAGUAAUUUAGUAACUAAAUUGCACACUUUUUGAUAGUUCAAGGAAGUGGUGUUAGCUUUGGAAAUAAGAUGGAUCUACUAGUUUUUAUUUCUCAUCUUUAUAGGGAACUUUCCAUAAUAUAGCUUAUAAAUACCAUAAUCACAGUGAUGAAUAAUUGUCUUGUUUGAAAGCAUGGUUGCACUUAUUUGCAUGGAAUUUGUCUGCGUUGAAAUUAAAUUAAGCUUUAUGCAUCAUUUGGAUGCUGAGAAACAAAUGAAAAUAGAAAAUUCAAAAUUUGACAAGUUUGUGUAGGGAAAUUGGAUCUAAUCUCUUAAUCGAAGCUUAAUUAGGGCAAAUGUUGAUCCUCUUUGGACCUAUUGAAAGCUCUAAUCUGUGCACAAUUCUAAUGUUUUUGUUUCCUUAAUUUCUUUUUCAACUUUUCAACAAAGCAUCAAUUUGCUAUAAUAAAUGAGAACCAACUUGACGAUGAGAAAAAUGACUGGUGAUGAUGUCAUAGAGAAUCGCAGAUGAGAACAACCAAAAAUACUAGGAUUGGUACCACUGAUGGUAAUGAAGAAAACACAAAAAUGGUGCAAAUGGUGAACAGGAAACUCAAAAUGGAAUGGGAAAAGAAACCUAAACAAUAGUCUCCUAUAUAAAGCACACAACAUGUACAUCGAGGCAUCUGAAAGGACACGCUGCCUGAGAAGUCACUCUAAUUGAUGUGACUCCUCAUGACGUGGGUGGUGGACAUAUGUCCCAUGGUGCCAAAAAUUUCAAACACUCAAGCAACCGAAUACUUUCACUUAGUCAUUUAAAGCCUAGCUAGACUCAAUUGCAAGAAUUAAGGGCAUUGUGGGAUGCUCACCACCGUCUAUCAUGGUCCUCAAACACUGUCUGGUGUGAGACAUAUUGGCACAAGAGCCAUGUAGCUUCUCUAUCCACCCCAAGAUACUCCUAGGGUAGCAAACGAACACAAUCCGACCAAACACUAUGCAUUCCUACCCUACAAGCAUUAAUUUCAAUGAGCAAUAAGUGUAUUAACACAUUAAUGAAUGCAACCGUUAUAACGCUAAAACGCCAUACUUUAAGGUUCAUCAAGACACAACAACCAUUAUGGGCCGACAAUUAUUGGCGUUAAAUAUGGUAAUGCGCAAUCAAAGGCUCAAUUAAGGCCCUUUAGAAGACGUUACUAUUGGGCAAAGAUAAAUAACCAUUUUUUACCACAAGAAAGUCUGAUGCCAUUUUUUUCACAAAAACUUUUGCUUAAGUCUUCCAUCUCUAACCUAAGCUUUGAAGGGGUGUACUUGGAAAACCUAUCCGAACAUUCCUUUAUGUAGGUGCAAUCAUCGUUUAUGUCACGCGAAGGCUAGUCAAAGACCUUUAUUGGUCGUGCACCAAUAAAUCUAUUUAGUAUAUCUCAUUUAUCCGUUCAAGUGAGAUGAAGGAGUGACCUAAAGAUAGAUUGGAAACAUCAUAGUUUCUUAUAUUGGUAAGGCAGCAACAACCUCGGCUAGUGCAUCAACCUGCUCGUUUUCCUCUAGGGGUACGCGUUUGAUAAACCAUUCAUUCAAUUUUUCUGUUCAAGUGUACCAAAGAGAGGUAAUGAGCCAUGCAUUCAUCUCAAGCUUCAUAUUUUAGUUAGAUUUGUUCACCCACUAGUUGUGAAUUGCUUUUGAUUUCUACUUUCAUGGUUGUGAGAGCUAAGGCUAGAUCGUCUCAUAAGAAUUGCUUCAUAUUUUGCCUCAAUAUUAGAUACUGGAAAGUUGAGACAGACGACUUGUUCAAUUUGCUCUCCUGUAAGGAAUUGUUGUGUUAGUCCUAUCCUAGCUUCUGAUGUUCUAGAGGCUUCGUCUACAUGGAGAACACGCCAUUGUUCUUCAUUGUUAGACCUUGUCCAUUUUUGGGGUGGUUCGACUAUGAAAUCAAUGAGAACUUGCUAUUUGAGAUACUAAUGAGGUUUGUACCGUAUGUAAUAUUCACUCAAUUUGAUUGCCCAAUUCACCAUUCGACUAGAUAGAUUUAGCUUGUGCAACGUGACCCACAACGGUUGAUUUGUCAAGACCGUUAUUUGGUGCGCCUGAAAAUAUGGACAAAGCUUCUUGGCAGCGAUCCGUAAGUUCAGAGCCAUUUGUUCCACUUAAGAAUAUCGUGUUUUUGUGUCAAUCAUAGCUUUUCUCACAUAGUAAAUAAGUCUUUGUUCAUUACUCUAAUUGUGUGGAAACAAUAUGACAUUGACAGCAAAGUUUGACACAACCAGGUACAUGUAUAACUCUUCUCUAGCUUCAAGACUACUUAAGAUUGGUGGCUUCGUAAGAUACUGUUUGAUGUCUUUAAAGGCAUGCUCACACUCAUCCAUCUAACUAGACAUCUUUGCUCCCUAGAGUUUGCUCAAGAAAGGUCUGAGCUUAUUUAUGAAGCGUGUUAUGAACCAACCUAAGGUGAUUAGACACCCAGUUAGACGUUGCACUUCCUUCUUGCUAGUAGGAGCAGGGAUUUCUAACACUACUUUCACUUGAGCCAGAUCGACUUCAAUACCCCCUUUGAGUCACCAUGAACACAAGAAACUUCCACUCACUUACUCUAAAUGCAUAUUUUAUUGGAUUAAGCUUCAUGUCAUACCUGCACAUUAAACUGAAUGCUUCUUCCAAAUGGAGGAGCUUCUUGGAACGAGUUAUUCUCUUAAUGACAAUGUCAUCGAUAUAGACUUCCAACGUUCGACCUAUCAAGGGCUUAAAAAUAUGGGUCAUCAACUGUUGGUACGUAGCUCCAAUGUUCAUUAACCCAAGCGACAUGAUCUUGUAAAAGUACAACUCCUUAUGUGUAAUAAAUGUCAUCUUCUCUUUGUCAUGUGGAAACAUUGGUAUCUGGUGGUAUCCAAAAGAAGCAUCAAGAAAAGACAACAUUCCAUGCCUGGUUGUGGCAUCGACUAUCUAAUCUAUCUAGAGCAAUGGGAAGCUAUCUUUCAAGCAGACUUCAUUCAUAUCCACGUAGUCUGCGCACACCUGCCAUUUUUCUCCUUUCUUGGUACCACUACCACAUUUGUUAACUAGUCCAAGUAGGUCACCUCCUUGAUAAAUCUUCCUUUUAAUAGCUUCUCAACUUCUAUCUAGAUAAUUUUUUGAUGAUCCAACUAGAAACGUCAGACUUUAUAUUGUAUGGGUCGUGCUGUAGGAAGAAGGUUCAACUUAUGAGAGCUCACCGCUAGGUCUAUUCCAAGCAUUUCCGAAUGAAUCCACACGAGGAUAUCCUUGUUUUUACAAAGCAUUUCACCAACAUUACCACAUUCAUCCCUAGUUAGCAAAAAAUUAGCGUAAGUCAUCUGCUUAUUAUUUUUCGACAAAGAUAGCUAUUGUAAUAGGCUGAUUGCCAAUGAGUCUCUAUCCUCUAGUUUUCCUUCGACCUAAUUCUAUAAUUGUUAUUAGCUCUCUCUUGAUGAUUUGAGUUCAUCUUUAGUUGGGCCUGAACUCCAUCGCCACUUAGUAACACUACUAGGUGGCUAAUUGGAUUCCAUGUGGAUCCACUUACCCAAAUUCUGUCAGGUAGCUCACCAUCUUAUGAUAGGUGGAUGGAAUAACUUUCAUCUUAUGUAGGUACGACAACCUUAUGAUGGUGUUGUACGACGGUAAAUCCUCUACUAUAGAAAAUCAUACGUUGAGAGUAGGCGGGUUGGCUUGGACAAGAAGUACCACGUCGCAUAGUGAUAUUGUGGCAACCCUAUUAAACCCAAACAAAAGUCGAACUAGAUUUUCUAAGGCAGAUGACGAACAUCCCAUUUUCCUGUAGGUUGACAUAUGCAAUAAAUUGGAAUGAUCAUUUUAGGAAGGAUCACUUGAUUAAUGUUAAUUGAAGGGAAAGUGAUUGGGUCAUUGACUGGUCGGGCACUUUCGACAGUAAAUGUGCACUGAACUGCACUUACUCUUUCCCUCCCUGUAGUCGCACAGAGCAUUCGUCUCCUUUGUUGUUUGGAGUGAUAUUUGUCAUCUACUAUUUCCCCAUGGAUAUAGUUAAUCACUACUCGAUGUGUUGUGGGAGAGUCAGGAACUCACUCUGACACUUCACGUGUCAUUUCUUUAUGUCCACCAGUUGCUCAGACAUACAACUUGAGAUGUCCGGUAAUGAUUAGUUUCUCCACCAAGUAGUGCAAAUUUUUGCACUCUUCUGUGGUGUGCCCAUGCUCCUUAUGAUAGAAUCAUCGCAAUCCUCGAUCAUGCUUGGACGAAUCAGUUUUGAUGGGCUCUAGCCACUUGAACUCGAGCAGCUCUCAAAUCAAGAGGAGAAUUCUAUCAUAAAAAAUGGUCAACGGGGUGAGCCUAGGCGAUUAUCAUUGUUGUUGUCUUUCUUGUCCUUGAUUAGUCUAUCUAGACUGGCUUGAGGGCUUUAAGCUCUUAGCCUUCUUUUUUAAUUGCUCGGUUUAUAACCAGGAUUUGUUGAGAGGUUACCUAAACAUCCUCCUCAAGCAUGACAUGUUUGCCCACUCGUCUAAAUAGGUCAUUCAUUGUAGUGGGCAACUUUUUGGCCAUGGACUUGAAGAAUUGAGUGCUUGGACUGAUGAUCCAUUUGAAGAUCUGCAGGAUAGCAUCCAUGUUGUAAGAUUCCAUCUAGAACACCGCUUGUCUGAAUCACUUCAUGAAGUCCCUUAGCGAUUCAUUCUCCUACAUCUGAAUGUUCUAUAAGGUGCUUAUAUUCUGCUUUUGGCGAGCAAAACAUAAAUAAUGGCCCACAAAGGCCUCUAAAACAUCUGUCAUCUGUUGUUGGAAGUGCAUCAGGUGAACAAAAGAGUCACCAUCCCAUAGUAAAUAGUAAAUUUGGGCACCGGAAACCCCUGGGCAGCUCAUAACUAAUGAUAUGUGGGUCAAACGACAUGAAGAGCAUGUCAUCCAAUCAUCUACUUAUGGAGUCAAGAGGGGCUUUUGUCAAUGGGUUAUUUGUCGAUUGUAGUUCUAGUAUUGAACAUUAAGGCAGACGGCUUGGUGAUGCCUCAUCGUUUGAUUGGCCUAAUUGUGCUUUCAAGGCCUCCAAUAUGCAUGGCGAUGCUAGUGUUCUUCUCUCCUGAUACCCAAGAUAGGCUUUCAGGGCAUCUGAGAGACGUAAGCCCCAUUCUUAACCCAUUUUCCAUUUUUCUCCAAUAGAGCUUGCAACCUCUUUCGCUUGAGUUCGAUCGACUACUGAAUGCACUAGUUCAAGUAAUGUUAGCGAACUGCUAGUAGACAAUCCCUCAUCCACUGUUUGUAGAGACGACUUAGUGUAUCAUUGAAGAACUUUCAUUGUUUGGCUUCAAACUACUCUUGAAGUCGUCUAUUGGUUGGAGGUACGAUGACUUUUUUAUCAGCACCCCAUAGCCACUUGUGCUCGUAGCUCUUGGUUCUCUUGCUGUAGUUGUUCUGCCUGUUGGACAGGGACUACAUAGGUUAUUCAUAUUCUUCUUGCUUUUUUUCUAUCUUUCCUUGCCAAGCUUGGAAUCGCUCGUCAACAUUUGCAGAAUGAGUUGCAGGAGGCGUGUUAACCAUCGUGUUUUUUAGGCAUUUGUGGUUGAUUCCCAUAGACAAUGCCAAUGUUGGUGCACGACCAGUAAAAAAAGGUGUUUGGCUAGUCUCCAUGUAACAUAGAUGACGAUUGCACCUGCACAAAGGAAUGUCUGAAUGGGUUUUUCAGGUACACCUUUCCAAAGCUUAGGUCAGAAAUGGAAGACUUAAGCAAGAGUUUUUGUGGAAAAAUUGGUAGCAUACUUUUCUUGUGGUUAAGAAUAACUAUUUAUCUUUGUCCAACUAUAAUAUCUUCUCAGAUGCCUUAAUUGAGCCUUUGAUUGUGCAUUAUCAUCUUUAAUGUCAAUGAUAGCCAACCCAUAAUGGUUGUUGUGUCUUGAUGAACCUUAAAGGUUGGCGUUUUAACCUCAUAAUGAUUGCAUCCAUCAAUGCGUUAAUGCACUAAUUGCCUAUUGCAAUUAAUGCUUGUUGGGCAAGAAUGCAUAGUGCCCGAUUAGAUUGUGUUUGUUUGGUACCCUAAGAGUACCCUGGGGUGGACAAAAAAGCCACAUGGCUCUUGUUCUAACAUGUCUCGACUAGACAGUGUUUGAGGAUCAUGUUAGAUGGUGAUGAGCAUCCCACAGUGAAGACGUAUGAUGAAAGCAAAGGUAGGGCUUCUAAACCAAACGCUUUUAGGGAUUUUUUUUUUUUUUUCAACAAAGUUGACCUCUUCAAGGAAAAAAAAAAAGGUUAAAAAAACUAUUGCUUUUUUGGAUCCAAAUCACCAUUUCCAAUGUGAUAUUUGGAUUUCCACCAUGUAUUUUUUUUUUUUUUAACAGUCAAGGACAUUUUAUGGAUUAUUGAAAGAUAAUAUCUUUCAACUUAAUUUCCUACAUUAAUUAAGUCUUAGGCUCAAAUGUGAAACUUAAGUGGUUGUUAGGCCAUCAAACCCAUCUGCCCUAAAGUAUAAUUUCCCAUUUUCAAAAUAUAUAGUUGUUAAACAUCUAUCCCAAACUAUUGUAACCCUUUGAAGUGCUUGGUAUGUUAACCUUGUUUCCUUUUCCUUAUGCAACAUGGCUAAUUGAUUGUUGCAUUGAAUCAUUAUCAUUCACCAAAUCCAUUCAACUAUGGACUUACCUUUCAAAUCCCUCUAACAAAAAUGGUAAUUCCAAAACAACUCAAGUCUAAUGUUCUCAACUCUUUCAAAUGAUUUAAUUAAUUGGUGUUUGAAUAUACCUCUUAUAUUUUUUUAGAGCAAUUUUUAGGCACAUAACAUAAAUUUCUAAUUUUUUUUUAGAAAAGGUUUUAUAUUUUAUAUUUUAUAUUACAACUUCCCCUUUUUUUUCCAUCUAAAAAACAAAACAUAAAACCUUAAUAACCGAGUUUUGUCACAAACCCUUAACAAAUAAUCUAUUUUCCAAAAAUUACUUUAACAUCUUUAAACAUAUUGAUUUAGUAUACUUUACUUUUAAUAUUUUUUGAAAAAUAUUUUUAUUUUAUAUGAUUAUUAAUUAAUUAAGAUUGAUUGGGUAUGGUAGAAUAUAUAUUCCAAAAUACAUCGUAUUGAGAACAAUAUCACAAGAUAUUAUAUCCAUAUCUUAACAUAUUAUAUACUUUUAUUUUGUGCAAUUAGCAAUUGGACGGAAGGUAGGGAGCCGGCUUAAUGGAAAUGUCGCAUCUCACGUGUGUCCCUUCCCUUACCAAGUCUCAACAAAGGAUGAAAAUAUCGGUAAUCACGGAUAUAUCGGUACUUCGAUUUUACGGAUAUAUUAGAUAUAUCAGAGAUAUAUUGACGGAUAUUUUGGAAAAAAAUAUCGAUAAGCCUAAAAUUGAUCAAAAUUUAUAAAAAUAUAAAAAAAACUUCAUAAAAAUGUAAUUAAAAGAAGGUCGUAUAAGUUACUCAUGUUGAUCAUGUGAUAUAUCACGAGAUAUAAUCGAUUUUUGGGAAUUUCUCACGAAAAUAUCGCGACAUUUCUUCCUUGUCUCGACUGCUCCAAGAUUUCCUAUACGCCCUUCUUCGCUUAGCUCUUAAGUCUUUUCUUCUCCUCUUCCUCAAACCCAUCACAUUUCGCCGCGUGGAGCUAAGUCUCAAGGUCCUUUUGUUCGUACGAUGUAUGUUCCCCCAAUUCCUCAUCUACCUUGAAACUCCAUACUCGCCAUCUACUCAACCACUUCUCUACUCUAGAGUCUGGAUGCUUUAUCUCCGCGAGUGUCGAUGGCUCUUCACCCCAGCGAGUAUGGAAUUACAAGGGCAAUAUCGUCAUUAAAGACACAACAGGCAAACCAAUGGCAUUGUCUUCCUUUUGGUCUAUUUUAUUUAUGCUGUAAGUAUUCGUGCUUGACUUCUCCCGCGUCUCUUAUAAAAACUAAAGAAAACCACUCCAACAGAGCACACUUCAAGAAUCUUCUUUUUUUUUUUCUUUCCUCUUUCUCUUUACAUAUAUACUGAGAAAGCCCAGCUCAUCCCUCAAUUCCCAGAUGGGUUUUAUGAAUGUUCUCAAGUUCUCAGCUGCAUGCUUUGAUAUUCUUGCCUGGUAUGUUGUCCACGCAUUUUCUCGCCAUUGGAAAUUUUUGGAAAAUGAAGUGGAAUUCUCUGUUUGAGGACAAACAUGGGAUUUUCUUUGAUUUCUCCCUGUUGGUUUUAUCUAUAUUCUUUGGAUUACCCACAUUCUUGUCAUUGAUUGUUAGUCAUUUGUUUGGAUUUCUACUUGCAGGCCUCUAUUUGCACUGGGUUAUCCUCUGUAAGUCUUGGUCUUACACCUCAAGAUAUGAUGAUUCAUUUACUCUUUUCUUGUUCUACGAAUAGUUCAGUUACAUUUAUUGUGUUGGGAAACUGAAAAGGGAAAGGAUUAUUCUUUAUUAUCGUAAUAAUCAUCAACAUCAUCUCGGUUCUUCACAGAUGUUCUUCAAUUCGGGCAAUUGAGACUAACUCAAUCUCAGACUUUCGGAAGUUGGUGGCGUAUUGGGUUCUAUUUUCCUUGAUUUCACUCUUUGAUCAUGCUUUUUCCAAGCUCCUUGAAUGGUAAUUUUGCUCAACUGCGUUCCACUAUAUGUGACUCUGUUUGUUUCAUUUCUUUGCCCUUAAGGAAUUUGGAGUUGCUUUUUUCAGUUUUCUUUCCUAUGAAAAUAAUCGAGAUGUUUAAUGUUCCAGGCCUCCAUGUAUUUUAUAUUCCUUCAUUUCUCUGCUUUGACAAAUGCUCACAAUCUGAUCAGCAGAAAGGUUAUAACAUUUGAAAAAGAAGUGGUUUAUUUUUGUUUUUUUUAAGUACAAUAAUUUUCGUUUGGAUAAAUGGUCUGAAGGGUGUUUGUGUUUGGCUGAGUUCAUGGAAUUUUCAAGCUAAUUUGGGAUUUAUUCUCAAUUUCAAGAUCAUUGUGGAUAUGUCAGAAAUUAAUGAAAUAUAAAUGGUGGAAUGUGAUUUUCUUGUUUAAGAAAAGUUUUUCUUUGAAAAUGCGGGUGCACCAGACCUACCUUAUUGNNNNNNNNNNNNNNNNNNNNNNNNNNNNNNNNNNNNNNNNNNNNNNNNNNNAUCAGAUUCAACUGUGAUAGCCCGGAAUUUAAUUCAGUAUUCGACUCUUCUGGGAACAUGUUGGUUAUGGUUUCUCUCUCACUGUCCUCUUCUUUACACAUGACUUUUCAGUUGAGGAGCACAAAGCCUAAUGUUGAAGUGAAAGAGAUCAAAGCACCUGCAGCACCGGAGAAAAAAGGGGAACAGGUAAGUACUCUAAUGUGGCUAUUUAAUUUCUAUGGAGGCAGAUCCCCAGAGAAAUGCUGUUCAUGUAAAUUACUGAUGCAUUUGAUUCAAUGGCCACGGUUUUAAAAGAAAAACCACUUUAUGUAUGUUUCUGUGAAUGAGAGAACAAGUUUAUGGAUUAAAUGAUAUUUUUUAUGGUGAAAUAAUCAAUAAUUUUCAAAAUAAUAAUACAUUCCUGCAUGUUUUUGCAAUUCAUGAAUUCCUUUUAUGAUUGAUUCUUCUCACCUUUUUUCUCACCUCAGUGGAAGUGUGAAGAGCCUAAUGUUGCUCAAAAAGAGAUCCAAGUAGUCAAAGUAACAGAGAUAAAAAAUGGGGGGGAUGGAGCAAAGAGGGUAAGUUUUGCUUUUUAUUUAUAAAGUAGGCUGUCUUCACACAAGGAUUAUUAUUAUUAUUAUUGUUAUUAUUUUAAGACAUGAAUGUUGAAUGAUUUUGGAAUUGUCCUUGAAUCAUGUGAAGUGUGAAUGGUCUAAUGCUGCUAAGGAGGAGGUCAAAGUGACAGAAGUAACACAGAGAACAUUUGGUGGUACAGCACAGUGGGUAAGGUUUCAUGUCAUAUUUAAAUGGCUCCUCAUAUUUCACUAGGAUUAAUUUUGCCCCUACAAACUAUUUGGCUACAAGUUAAGACAGAGUUCCAGAUGCUGAUAAAGCUGAGACAUAAGUAAUGAACGAAUUUAGACACAUGCACAACUCUUGUGUGAAACACAAUGAGAGUGGAAAAUAGCUAAGUUGAAAAAUGGCCAAAUACUAUUUUGUAGUUCCCCCUACCACUUAAGUAAUUUUUGUCAUCCUUUGUGAAUGGAAAAUGCAGUCCCUUCAGUAAUUCCAUUAUAUUCAUGACUUGGUGAAGCAUAUAACCAUUAGUGUCUUACCCUAAGUCGACCUUUAAUGAUGAUCCAUUGAGAUGGGUCUGACUUUUGUCAACCCUCUUAUUCCCUUGAUCAUAGAGGUGAAACUUAGGGGGCUUAACCCACUUUUCAAUCUUAUUGGAUAUAUGGCACGUGGUAUCCUCUUCAUCUUGAAAGAGUGAAGUGGUCAUACUCUUUCCUCUGAGUCCAUUGUGGCCAUGCACUUCAGGCUCAUUGGGCUGAGUGAAAGGAUUCCCUUCUGCUUCAAAUCAUAGAGAGAUAUGCCAUGGUCAGCCUCUUUAAUUCAAGGGAUUGAAGUACUCAAAUCCAUUUCUCUGUAUCCAUCUUAGUUCUGCAUUCAUGUCUCAUGGUUAACCAAGAAGAUCCAGCCUCCAUCCAUGAGAUCAGCAUCUGCAGGUUUAUGACACCACCCUUCCUUUGCAUAGGAAAGGGAUCAUUAAGCCAUGUGUCGGAUGACAGAAGUCAUCAUUCAGGUUAUCUUGAGAACUAAGGAAGUUGGAAUUCUAAUUAUUGCAUAUGGUUCUUGAUGUUUAGCCAAUAUACUAUAGGAUUUUAAGCAUCAUGCUCACGUGCAUUGUGGUUGCUUAUCAGCUAUAUGGUUUGCCAAAAUGAGGGACUGAUUAUGGUCAUAAGUACCUUUUUCCCAUUAAUUUCUUGCAUGUGCUCUGCUGAGAUUAUGUUUUUGACAGUCCAAAUCAGGGCAAACCAACAAACAGCUUUAUGUUAACUUUUACAAACUGCCAUAUUUUCAGGUUAAACAAACAGAGAUAAAUCUUGGUGAAACUAGAAGUAAUACAACCUGUGCUGUGGAGAUAAAAGAAAGGGCAGCAGCACUGGUGGCUGCAGAAAUUGAGGCAUGUAGAGACGAUAGAACCCCCAAGAUACCUCUUCAUGAGAAAGUCCAGAAAGAGUGGGCUUGUGCUGUGUGCCAGUUCACAACCCAAACUGAAGCGACCUUCAAUUCCCACCUUCAAGGGAAGAGACAUCAGGCCAUUUCUGAGCAGCUGAGAGCCAAAAAUCAGGCAACCAAAACCAAUUGUUCCCCAUCUGCUUCAAUGGCCAAGAAAUCUGAUCAGUCCACCAAAGAGGAGCAACCGAAGUGUACUUCCAAUCUGAAUUCCAAAAACAAUGGAAUCUCAGCUGCUUCAACAGUGAAGAAACUUGAUGAGACCAAAGAUGAUGAGCAACAAAAGUCUGCAUCUAGCAAUGGACCGAACCAGAAGAAUAACAAAAAGCAAGAGGUACAGACCAAUGAGCAAGGCCGUCAGAAGAACUUAAGGCAAACUGGUGAUGGAAUGAAAGAGUUGAGAUCAUGGUGCAAUAUCUGUAAUGUAAGCUGCACAAGGGAGCUUGACCUGGCCUCGCAUCUCAAUGGAAGGAGGCACUUUGAUAGGAUAAAGCAGCUGUCUGAAUUAUGGUGCAGUAACUGCAAUGUAAGGUGCAACAGUGAGGUUGAUAUGGC
RNAcentral lists this long non-coding RNA (37421 nucleotides) under Vitis vinifera (wine grape). Its description in RNAcentral is "long non-coding RNA (VVIN_LNC000787)". The record is from RNAcentral. Lineage: Eukaryota; Viridiplantae; Streptophyta; Magnoliopsida; Vitales; Vitaceae.